Podarcis lilfordi (Lilford's wall lizard) is the source of this 76-nucleotide non-coding RNA. The record is from the annotation of a GenBank genome assembly. Lineage: Eukaryota; Metazoa; Chordata; Lepidosauria; Squamata; Lacertidae.
UGUUCAGCAUAGCUCAGUUGGUUGGGCAUGAGAUUCUUAAUCUCGGUGCCGUGGGUUCAAGCCCCACACUGGGUAA